Ciona intestinalis (vase tunicate) is the source of this 688-nucleotide non-coding RNA. The record is from RefSeq and is a predicted model, not a curated record. Lineage: Eukaryota; Metazoa; Chordata; Ascidiacea; Phlebobranchia; Cionidae.
CAUUAUCCUUCAUUAUUGACGUCAUACAGUCAGUGUUCUUCGCAAACAUGUACUCUAUGUUGAAGCCAGCGACGUUACUGGAAAAGUAUUGUGACGUAUCGUCUCGUCGGACCAACGAUCAAACUACUGAUCCCCCUGCAUCCGGUAGGUGUCAGUGCGGAGCAAUUCAAGACAGGACAAGGACAGCUCUGUGACGUCAUAGACACUCCAGUUGGACACAAUGAAGAUCCGCGAUUGGGACAAUGGGUUAUAUUUAACCACACUGAGUCACUAUGACGUAACAAUGAUAAUAAUCUUCAAAAAUGAAACGAGAUAUAUGUAUUACUUCUAGUACUGUGGGGGAAGAUAGGACAGCACAUAAUAUCCAAAUAUCCUGAUCGUGUUUUAAACAACUUGUAUGAUUCUUUGAAUGUUCUUUGUUUACUACCAAAUAGAACGAAAAAAUAGAGUGAAAAGGUGUCCCAUCUUUCCCCACCCUACUCUACCACUUACUUUGAACUGCAUUGAUCGGUGGGAUGCAUUAUGACGUCAUAAUCUUGGUACCCUUGGACGAGAAAGCCAUCGAAAGAAAUCCCUUAAAGUGCGCCACCUUCUGGGUUCGGAACAUCCCAAGUAAAGGUCACCGAAAGGUAGAUGGUUGUAGCGCCACCUCGCGGUUUGAUUGUUGUGUUCAUGAAAUACCGAAGGU